Molecule: long non-coding RNA, 1107 nt
Filed under: Betta splendens (Siamese fighting fish)
Lineage: Eukaryota; Metazoa; Chordata; Actinopteri; Anabantiformes; Osphronemidae
Description: lncRNA (ENSBSLG00000009377.1)
Source: RNAcentral
AUUUGUGAACAGAUGCCACUGAGAGAAACACGUGUUUCCGAGGUCUCUUGAACGUGUCUUUGCUGUCGUGAAGGAACUCGCAGUUUGGCUCUGAUCCAAAAACAACCCAACCCAAUAUAACAACGGCGAUGCUUUUCUUCUGUGUCUGGAAGUUACAACUCAACGAGCCUCAUCCCAAACCUCAGUGAGAUGGUGUCUUCUGAACACUGUCAGUUUGCUGUUGAAGAUGAUUUUGAGGAGGAAAUCUAUGAAAACUACUGUCCUGUUUAUUACAAUGAUAGAGAUGAACAUCUUCAGUGGACAAACACUCAGUUGUGAUAAAAAUGAGUACUCGAUUGAAAACAGGUGCUGCCCCAUGUGUAAUUCUGGUAAGAUCCAGCUGAGGGUUAAAGGGACCUUUCACUGUAGUUACAGUCAUUUAUAUCAUGUUGAUGAUGUUGUCAUGUUUUUUAAACAGGACAGAGGGUUAAAACAGUUUGUGCAGAUUGAAGACCUACGUCCUGUUCUCCCUGUUUAAAAGGAACGUUCAUGAAUCAUUCCACUGAACUCAAACAGUGUUUCCCGUGUGCAGACUGUGAUCAAGGUAGAUUUACAUUUUUGUCUAACAGUCUUCAGUGCAACAAACAGAUAAUCUUCAUGAAUGUUUACAUCUGUCAUCAUCAUAACCUUAUAUAACAAAAUAUUCCACACCUAAAUACAACAUCAUGAAACAAUAACAGCUACUAUGAUGAUGAAAGGUUUGUCGUAGCAGUUAAGACACAGCCUUUAGUUACUGAACUCCAACUCAAACUUUAUCUGUCAAAUCUUGUGCUUUGGUAAAAGUAUUUGAGGAGCUGAUAAUUCAGGAAAAUAACAGGGAAACAAGGGAGGAAGAUUAGGCUCUGAAAAGGAUGAAGAGUGGAGAGGCUGUUGGUCCUGAUGACGUACCUGUGGACGUGUCUAGGGGAGACAGCAGUGGAGUUUUUAACUAGCUUGUUCAACAGGAUUCUAGAGCAUGAGAAGAUGCCUGAGGAAUGGAGGAGAAGCGUUUCGGUGUCCAUCUUUAAGAACAAGGGUGACACGCAGAACUGCAGCAACCACAGAGGAAUAAAGUUGAUGAGCCACACA